RNAcentral lists this ribosomal RNA (465 nucleotides) under uncultured Klebsiella sp. RNAcentral's name for it is "bacterial SSU rRNA". It matches the Rfam family "Bacterial small subunit ribosomal RNA", at positions 338 to 795 of the family's 1533-position model. The record is from RNAcentral. Lineage: Bacteria; Pseudomonadati; Pseudomonadota; Gammaproteobacteria; Enterobacterales; Enterobacteriaceae.
CCUACGGGUGGCAGCAGUGGGGAAUAUUGCACAAUGGGCGCAAGCCUGAUGCAGCCAUGCCGCGUGUGUGAAGAAGGCCUUCGGGUUGUAAAGCACUUUCAGCGGGGAGGAAGGCGGUGAGGUUAAUAACCUCAUCGAUUGACGUUACCCGCAGAAGAAGCACCGGCUAACUCCGUGCCAGCAGCCGCGGUAAUACGGAGGGUGCAAGCGUUAAUCGGAAUUACUGGGCGUAAAGCGCACGCAGGCGGUCUGUCAAGUCGGAUGUGGAAUCCCCGGGCUCAACCUGGGAACUGCAUUCGAAACUGGCAGGCUAGAGUCUUGUAGAGGGGGGUAGAAUUCCAGGUGUAGCGGUGAAAUGCGUAGAGAUCUGGAGGAAUACCGGUGGCGAAGGCGGCCUCCUGGACAAAGACUGACGCUCAGGUGCGAAAGCGUGGGGAGCAAACAGGAUUAGAUACCCGGGUAGUC